This 205-nucleotide unclassified non-coding RNA is filed under the name uncultured Thanatephorus. Its description in RNAcentral is "sequence contains ITS1". Lineage: Eukaryota; Fungi; Basidiomycota; Agaricomycetes; Cantharellales; Ceratobasidiaceae. The record is from RNAcentral.
CUGGAAAUAUUCAAGGUUGUAGCUGGCCCUUUUCGGGGGGUAAUGUGCUCGCCUUGUUUUCAAUCCAAUUCACACCUGUGCACACUUUGUAGUGUUUGGUUAUAGGUCUCUCUUUCGGGGGGGAAACUAAACCAGCUCUACGUAUUUUUACACAUACACUUAUAAAGUUUAGAAUGUUAAUACUUGUGAUAACACACAUUUAAAA